Molecule: ribosomal RNA, 492 nt
Filed under: uncultured bacterium
Lineage: Bacteria
Description: partial 16S ribosomal RNA
Rfam family: Bacterial small subunit ribosomal RNA
Source: RNAcentral
AGUGAACGCUGGCGGUAGGCCUAACACAUGCAAGUCGAACGGCAGCACAGUAAGAGCUUGCUCUUACGGGUGGCGAGUGGCGGGCGGGUGAGGAAUACAUCGGAAUCUACUUUUUCGUGGGGGAUAACGUAGGGAAACUUCCGCUACUACCGCAUACGUCCAACGGGUGAAAGCAGGGGAUCUUCGCACUUUGCCUGAUUCAUUGAGCCGAUGCCGGAUUAGCUAGUUGGCGGGGUAAAGGCCCACCAAGGCGACGAUCCGUAGCUGGUCUGAGAGGAUGAUCAGCCACACUGGAACUGAGACACGGUCCAGACUCCUACGGGAGGCAGCAGUGGGGAAUAUUGGACAAUGGGCGCAAGCCUGAUCCAGCCAUACCGCGUGAGUGAAGAAGGCCUUCGGGUUGUAAAGCCCUUUUGUUGGGAAAGAAAAGCAGCAGGUUAAUACCCCGCUGUUCUGACGGUACCCAAAGAAUAAGCACCGGCUAACUUCGUG